Molecule: ribosomal RNA, 483 nt
Filed under: uncultured bacterium
Lineage: Bacteria
Description: bacterial SSU rRNA
Rfam family: Bacterial small subunit ribosomal RNA
Source: RNAcentral
GAACGCUGGCGGCAUGCCUUACACAUGCAAGUCGAACGGCAGGCACGGGAGCAAUCCUGGUGGCGAGUGGCGAACGGGUGAGUAAUAUAUCGGAACGUGCCCGGUCGUGGGGGAUAACGUAGCGAAAGCUACGCUAAUACCGCAUACGUCCUACGGGAGAAAGCGGGGGGAUCUUCGGACCUCGCGCCAUUAGAUGAGCCUAGGUCGGAUUAGCUAGUUGGUGAGGUAAUGGCUCACCAAGGCGACGAUCCGUAACUGGUCUGAGAGGAUGAUCAGUCACACUGGAACUGAGACACGGUCCAGACUCCUACGGGAGGCAGCAGUGGGGAAUAUUGGACAAUGGGCGAAAGCCUGAUCCAGCCAUGCCGCGUGUGUGAAGAAGGUCUUCGGAUUGUAAAGCACUUUAAGUUGGGAGGAAGGGUAGUAACCUAAUACGUUGCUACUUUGACGUUACCGACAGAAUAAGCACCGGCUAACUUCGUG